This 1223-nucleotide ribosomal RNA is filed under the name Salmonella enterica subsp. enterica serovar Montevideo. RNAcentral's name for it is "partial 23S ribosomal RNA". It matches the Rfam family "Bacterial large subunit ribosomal RNA", at positions 1728 to 2925 of the family's 2925-position model. Lineage: Bacteria; Pseudomonadati; Pseudomonadota; Gammaproteobacteria; Enterobacterales; Enterobacteriaceae. The record is from RNAcentral.
CCGUAACUUCGGGAGAAGGCACGCUGACAUGUAGGUGAAGUGAUUUACUCAUGGAGCUGAAGUCAGUCGAAGAUACCAGCUGGCUGCAACUGUUUAUUAAAAACACAGCACUGUGCAAACACGAAAGUGGACGUAUACGGUGUGACGCCUGCCCGGUGCCGGAAGGUUAAUUGAUGGGGUCAGCGCAAGCGAAGCUCCUGAUCGAAGCCCCGGUAAACGGCGGCCGUAACUAUAACGGUCCUAAGGUAGCGAAAUUCCUUGUCGGGUAAGUUCCGACCUGCACGAAUGGCGUAAUGAUGGCCAGGCUGUCUCCACCCGAGACUCAGUGAAAUUGAACUCGCUGUGAAGAUGCAGUGUACCCGCGGCAAGACGGAAAGACCCCGUGAACCUUUACUAUAGCUUGACACUGAACAUUGAGCCUUGAUGUGUAGGAUAGGUGGGAGGCUUUGAAGUGUGGACGCCAGUCUGCAUGGAGCCGACCUUGAAAUACCACCCUUUAAUGUUUGAUGUUCUAACGUGGACCCGUGAUCCGGGUUGCGGACAGUGUCUGGUGGGUAGUUUGACUGGGGCGGUCUCCUCCUAAAGAGUAACGGAGGAGCACGAAGGUUGGCUAAUCCUGGUCGGACAUCAGGAGGUUAGUGCAAUGGCAUAAGCCAGCUUGACUGCGAGCGUGACGGCGCGAGCAGGUGCGAAAGCAGGUCAUAGUGAUCCGGUGGUUCUGAAUGGAAGGGCCAUCGCUCAACGGAUAAAAGGUACUCCGGGGAUAACAGGCUGAUACCGCCCAAGAGUUCAUAUCGACGGCGGUGUUUGGCACCUCGAUGUCGGCUCAUCACAUCCUGGGGCUGAAGUAGGUCCCAAGGGUAUGGCUGUUCGCCAUUUAAAGUGGUACGCGAGCUGGGUUUAGAACGUCGUGAGACAGUUCGGUCCCUAUCUGCCGUGGGCGCUGGAGAACUGAGGGGGGCUGCUCCUAGUACGAGAGGACCGGAGUGGACGCAUCACUGGUGUUCGGGUUGUCAUGCCAAUGGCACUGCCCGGUAGCUAAAUGCGGAAGAGAUAAGUGCUGAAAGCAUCUAAGCACGAAACUUGCCCCGAGAUGAGUUCUCCCUGAGACUUUAGGUCUCCUGAAGGAACGUUGAAGACGACGACGUUGAUAGGCCGGGUGUGUAAGCGCAGCGAUGCGUUGAGCUAACCGGUACUAAUGAACCGUGAGGCUUAACCUUACA